ACCAGAUUCAUUCCAAACCAAUAUACAGAAAACCUGAGAGAAACGAAAUGAAUUUAAAUGGAUGAAAAUAGGGCAGGAGAGUUAGAGUUUCUCUAUCUGCCAGUGGGGGAAAGCACUGCAAGAGAGAGGUCCCAUUCCCAUUGUAGAGGCUGGGAAACUGAGUCUCCAAGACGUUAGACUUUCAGCCUCCAUUCACCUGGAGUGAGAGGGAAAGGAGGACAGCUGGCCUGGAGUAGCCAGAAGACUCUGCUUCUUCUGGCUUAUAAAGGAGAGACUUAUACUUUAACCUUGGAGCAUAAGGUAAGUCCCUCAGGCUUGUUUUAUAGAAUUGUGGUACUGGCUCAUGGUUCGGUAGGAGCAGCAAAACUUCUCAGAAUGCGAGGCUACAAGCCCAGUCUCUAUGCUUACUAGCUGGCAGAUGUCCCUGGACCUCAGUGUCCCUGUCCACAUAUGAGGGAGUAAUGCCAGAUGGACCUAGUCCAGAGAACCUACCCUCCCAGGAGGCAGCCAGGCUCAAGGUAAAGUCCAGGACGGGGUCCCAUCCUGACUCCGCCCUGCCUUGCU
This 564-nucleotide small RNA is filed under the name Pongo abelii (Sumatran orangutan). Its description in RNAcentral is "sense overlapping". The record is from RNAcentral. Lineage: Eukaryota; Metazoa; Chordata; Mammalia; Primates; Hominidae.